Molecule: ribosomal RNA, 354 nt
Filed under: Chloropicon mariensis
Lineage: Eukaryota; Viridiplantae; Chlorophyta; Chloropicophyceae; Chloropicales; Chloropicaceae
Description: partial Eukaryotic small subunit ribosomal RNA
Rfam family: Eukaryotic small subunit ribosomal RNA
Source: RNAcentral
UUUUACAUUGAUAACUUUGGUAAUUCUAGAGCUAAUACAUGAACAAGUGUUCCAACCACGGCUUGCCGUUGGAAGGAUCGCAUUUAUUAGUACAAGACCAAUGACUCUUAUUCACCUGGAACCCUGUUCAGUGAUUUCGGUCGCUGUCUAAGGACCAGCAGUGGGGGUCUAAGCACUUUCGAGUGCAUUUCUUGUGAUGACUCUGAAUAACUGAGCAAAUCGUAUGGCCUCUGAGCCGACGAUGUAUCCCUCAAGCAACUGCCUUAUCAACUGUCGAUGGUAAGUUCUGCGCUUACCAUGGUUGUAACGGGUAACGGAGAAUCAGGGUUUGAUUCCGGAGAGGGAGCCUGAGAA